UACGUAGGGGGCAAGCGUUACCCGGAUUUACUGGGCGUAAAGCGCGUGUAGGCGGCUGGCCAAGUGUGGUGUGAAAUCCCCCGGCUCAACCGGGGAACUGCAUUGCAAACUGGUCUGGCUAGAGUGCAGGAGAGGGAAGUGGAAUUCCCGGUGUAGCGGUGGAAUGCGCAGAUAUCAGGAGGAACACCGGUGGCGAAGGCGGGUCUCUGGGCCGAUAUUGACGCUGAGGAGCGAAAGCGUGGGGAGCGAACAGG
This 254-nucleotide ribosomal RNA is filed under the name uncultured bacterium. RNAcentral's name for it is "partial 16S ribosomal RNA". It matches the Rfam family "Bacterial small subunit ribosomal RNA", at positions 524 to 776 of the family's 1533-position model. The record is from RNAcentral.